CAAAUCAGGUAGGACUACCCGCUGAACUUAAGCAUAUCAAUAAGCGGAGGAAAAGAAACUAACAAGGAUUCCCCUAGUAACUGCGAGUGAAGCGGGAAAAGCUCAAAUUUAAAAUCUGGCGGUCUUCGGCCGUCCGAGUUGUAAUCUGGAGAAGCGUUUUCCGCGCCGGACCGUGUACAAGUCUCUUGGAACAGAGCGUCAUAGAGGGUGAGAAUCCCGUCUUUGACACGGACUACCGGUGCUAUGUGAUGCGCUCUCGAUGAGUCGAGUUGUUUGGGAAUGCAGCUCAAAAUGGGUGGUAAAUUCCAUCUAAAGCUAAAUAUUGGCGAGAGACCGAUAGCGAACAAGUACCGUGAGGGAAAGAUGAAAAGCACUUUGGAAAGAGAGUUAAACAGUACGUGAAAUUGCUGAAAGGGAAACGAUUGAAGUCAGUCGCGUGUGCUAGAACUCAGCCUUGCUUUUGCUUGGUGCAUUUUCUAGUGUACGGGCCAGCAUCAGUUUUGGCCGCCGGAAAAAGGCCUUGGGAAUGUGGCACCUUCGGGUGUGUUAUAGCCCUUGGUUGUAUACGGUGGCUGGGACUGAGGAACAUAGCAUGCCUUUACGGCGGGGCUUCGGCCACCUUCAUGCUUUGGAUGCUGGCGUAAUGGCUUUAAACGACCCGUCUUGAAACACGGACCAAGGAGUCUAACAUGCCUGCGAGUGUUUGGGUGGAAAACCCGAG
RNAcentral lists this ribosomal RNA (721 nucleotides) under Bjerkandera adusta. RNAcentral's name for it is "eukaryotic LSU rRNA". It matches the Rfam family "Eukaryotic large subunit ribosomal RNA", at positions 1 to 712 of the family's 3401-position model. Lineage: Eukaryota; Fungi; Basidiomycota; Agaricomycetes; Polyporales; Phanerochaetaceae. The record is from RNAcentral.